GAUGAACGCUGGCGGCGUGCCUAAUACAUGCAAGUCGGGCGAACGGACGAGAAGCUUGCUUCUCUGAUGUUAGCGGCGGACGGGUGAGUAACACGUGGAUAACCUACCUAUAAGACUGGGAUAACUUCGGGAAACCGGAGCUAAUACCGGAUAAUAUUUUGAACCGCAUGGUUCAAUAGUGAAAGACGGUCUUGCUGUCACUUAUAGAUGGAUCCGCGCUGCAUUAGCUAGUUGGUAAGGUAACGGCUUACCAAGGCAACGAUGCAUAGCCGACCUGAGAGGGUGAUCGGCCACACUGGAACUGAGACACGGUCCAGACUCCUACGGGAGGCAGCAGUAGGGAAUCUUCCGCAAUGGGCGAAAGCCUGACGGAGCAACGCCGCGUGAGUGAUGAAGGUCUUCGGAUCGUAAAACUCUGUUAUUAGGGAAGAACAUAUGUGUAAGUAACUGUGCACGUCUUGACGGUACCUAAUCAGAAAGCCACGGCUAACUACGUG
This 497-nucleotide ribosomal RNA is filed under the name uncultured bacterium. RNAcentral's name for it is "partial 16S ribosomal RNA". It matches the Rfam family "Bacterial small subunit ribosomal RNA", at positions 28 to 507 of the family's 1533-position model. The record is from RNAcentral.